UCUAAUAUGGCAGAUUAGUGCAAUGAAUUUAAGCUUCAUAUAUAAAGAUUAACCUUUUAUUAGAA
This 65-nucleotide transfer RNA is filed under the name Megaporus rufipes. Its description in RNAcentral is "tRNA-Leu". Lineage: Eukaryota; Metazoa; Arthropoda; Insecta; Coleoptera; Dytiscidae. The record is from RNAcentral.